GAUGAAGAACGCAGCGAAAUGCGAUAAGUAAUGUGAAUUGCAGAAUUCAGUGAAUCAUCGAAUCUUUGAACGCUCAUUGCGCCCCUUGGUAUUCCGAGGGGCAUGCCUGUUCGAGCGUCAUUAUAACCCCUCAAGCUCAGCUUGGUGUUGGGGCCUGCCGCACGGGCAGCCCUUAAAAUCAGUGGCGGUGCCAUCUGGCUCUAAGCGUAGUAAUUCUUCUCGCUAUAGAGUCCCGGUGGAUGCUUGCCAUUAACCCCCAAUUUUCUAUGGUUGACCUCGGAUCAGGUAGGGAUACCCGCUGAACUUAAGCAUAUCAAUAAGCGGAGGA
This 328-nucleotide unclassified non-coding RNA is filed under the name soil metagenome. Its description in RNAcentral is "partial contains 5.8S ribosomal RNA, internal transcribed spacer 2, and large subunit ribosomal RNA". The stretch from base 1 to 120 matches the Rfam family "5.8S ribosomal RNA", at positions 35 to 154 of the family's 154-position model. The record is from RNAcentral.